GCCUUGGGGUAGCUCAGUUGGUAGAGCAUGUGACUCUUAAUCUUAGGGUUGUGAGUUUGAGUCCCACGUUGGGCU
Non-coding RNA from Podarcis lilfordi (Lilford's wall lizard), 75 nucleotides. The record is from the annotation of a GenBank genome assembly. Lineage: Eukaryota; Metazoa; Chordata; Lepidosauria; Squamata; Lacertidae.